This 538-nucleotide ribosomal RNA is filed under the name Salmonella enterica. RNAcentral's name for it is "bacterial LSU rRNA". It matches the Rfam family "Bacterial large subunit ribosomal RNA", at positions 1 to 569 of the family's 2925-position model. The record is from RNAcentral. RNAcentral also lists the same sequence under 1 other name. Lineage: Bacteria; Pseudomonadati; Pseudomonadota; Gammaproteobacteria; Enterobacterales; Enterobacteriaceae.
GGGUUGUGAGGUUAAGCGACUAAGCGUACACGGUGGAUGCCCUGGCAGUCAGAGGCGAUGAAGGGCGUGCUAAUCUGCGAUAAGCGCCGGUAAGGUGAUAUGAACCGUUAUAACCGGCGAUACCCGAAUGGGGAAACCCAGUGUGAUUCGUCACACUAUCAUUAACUGAAUCCAUAGGUUAAUGAGGCGAACCGGGGGAACUGAAACAUCUAAGUACCCCGAGGAAAAGAAAUCAACCGAGAUUCCCCCAGUAGCGGCGAGCGAACGGGGAGGAGCCCAGAGCCUGAAUCAGCAUGUGUGUUAGUGGAAGCGUCUGGAAAGGCGCGCGAUACAGGGUGACAGCCCCGUACACAAAAGCGCAUGUGCUGUGAGCUCGAUGAGUAGGGCGGGACACGUGGUAUCCUGUCUGAAUAUGGGGGGACCAUCCUCCAAGGCUAAAUACUCCUGACUGACCGAUAGUGAACCAGUACCGUGAGGGAAAGGCGAAAAGAACCCCGGCGAGGGGAGUGAAAAAGAACCUGAAACCGUGUACGUACAA